RNAcentral lists this ribosomal RNA (253 nucleotides) under uncultured bacterium. RNAcentral describes it as "partial 16S ribosomal RNA". It matches the Rfam family "Bacterial small subunit ribosomal RNA", at positions 524 to 776 of the family's 1533-position model. The record is from RNAcentral.
UACGUAGGGUGCGAGCGUUGUCCGGAAUUAUUGGGCGUAAAGAGCUCGUAGGUGGCUUGUCGCGUCGGAUGUGAAAGCCCGGGGCUUAACCCCGGGUCUGCAUUCGAUACGGGCAGGCUAGAGUUCGGUAGGGGAGAUCGGAAUUCCUGGUGUAGCGGUGAAAUGCGUAGAUAUCUGGAGGAAUACCGGUGGCGAAGGCGGCAUCCUGGACCGACAUUGACGCUGAGGCGCGAAAGCUAGGGGAGCAAACGGG